This is a long non-coding RNA of Ornithodoros turicata, 309 nucleotides long. RefSeq lists it as uncharacterized. The transcript is spliced from 3 exons. The record is from RefSeq and is a predicted model, not a curated record. NCBI's taxonomy places the organism in Eukaryota, Metazoa, Arthropoda, Arachnida, Ixodida, Argasidae.
UGCUUGAGCUGCUUGAGCAUGACUUGAGGAUGAGAUUUGUUGUAGUGGUGAAGCAGCUUUGCCAAAUAUUCCGUUCAAGUUCCUCGCUGGAUGUCCCGCUCGUCCGUCGAUGUUCAAGAGAUGCAACAAGUGCCAGUCCACUUUUUCUCAGCUGCACCUUCUCAGUCCAGGCAGCACCAGGUGAAUGUAGGUACACAAUUUCCAAGUGAAUUAAGACGUACGAGUGCAAUUCUGAAGCAGAUUUUCAGGCAUGUUGAGAAGAAAUGCGCAGAAGGCAGCCAAGUGUCACUAAAGGCACAGGGGUAAAAA